Molecule: long non-coding RNA, 4067 nt
Organism: Oncorhynchus nerka (sockeye salmon)
Lineage: Eukaryota; Metazoa; Chordata; Actinopteri; Salmoniformes; Salmonidae
Exons: 4
Source: RefSeq, a predicted model, not a curated record
GUGUUGCUUAGUUUGUAGUAGGUUGUGUUUAUUUAUUAAAACACUCACUCCCUGAACUUGCUUCCCGACUCUCAGAGCACAUCGUUACAAUAUUCAGAUGGGACAGGUAUAUUACGAUAUGCAAGACCUUCCCUUAUGAACCUAGCACACCCACCACCCUGUCCAGUUGACCGAUCUGAUUGAGCAAUAACCAGGAAUAAUAAAAUCAAGAAGUGGUCUAAGCCAUGUUUCUUGAACACAUAUCACGUCAAGUUUGAUCUCUAAAUCAAUUACAUAUUAAACUUCUGACCGUUAGCAAUAAGUCUACUGGCAUUCCACGGAAGGAUAACAAAAACCAAAGCUCUUGUCAUCAUACUGAGACAAUCCAUAAUUAGUAUUAUUUGGAGUCAACAUAUCAACAAUCUUGGUGACAGUAACAUCUGCCAAAUUCUGCACUGCCUACAAACUCUGUUGCUGCUUCCACAAUGAUUAUCAAAUUGGCAGUUAGUUUUUCCACAAACACAGUCAGGUUGAUAACCAUUCCAAUGAAGGCUAUGAAGUCAAUAAGAUGACCUAUUAAGGUGUCUUUUGACAUGACACAUUUGUUAGAGCAAGAUUUCUGAACAGGUAUCGUAUCUGUGUCUAGACCUAAGCAACAUUUUCUACAGUAGUUUCACUUAUUCCAGGAGACUAUUAUCUCCAUCAUUCUGCCUAUUAUGCUCCCCAGUUUCUGUGUUGUUUUGGGUUUGUAUGUGUUUAUUUCAGGAAAUGGCGUCCUGGAUACAAAGCAGCUGAUUGGUCGGCCCCAUCGAUGAUUGGUGCUCUGAACCCACCCUCUCGUCAGGGGAAACAGCUGUUUUCAAUUACCAACUCCUUCUCCAGCUGGAUAAAAGCCAGUGUUCCUUUGUCAGGAGAAGAUUAAGCUUCUUGGAUGUUCUGUGUUGGUUGUAGGCGAGUGACAGUUUUGUUGAAAGUCUUUUGUAGCCACUACUUCUGAGGGAGGAAGGUGUUAGGCAUCUUGGCAGUGCUUAGGCAAAAGGCCUGUGGACAUAUAUAACCUGUAGUAUUUACUGUCUAUGCACAGUAGGUAAGACCUGGGCAGACCACCCCCUGUAUUUCGGUUAGCGUGCCAGGAGGUGCUAAAAGGUUAGCACAGAUCAUCCAGGUCCACGACGUUCAUCAUCUCCAUCCAUGUCGACCAGUCUAGCACAGCUGUUGCUAAAACCACCAACCACAAUUUAGAACGAUGGUCCUCCUGACCUCUCCAGUUCUCUUACUGGCAAGACGAAGAGGCAUUCAGUGUUGUUUUCUAUCAGAAAGGAUACUGGUCAGGUUUAUUCGAUAAAAGCAAUGUCAAAAAAAUAAACAAUCAUUGCGACAUUUGUAAUGAAGGGCAGAUAUAGGAGAAAUGUUUAAGAAACAUUUUUAUUAGUUGGACAGGAUUUUUAUUUUGUCAAACUUUCUUUGUGACAAAUUGAUGGAAACUGAUUUUUGAAUAAAUUAUGAUUUCCAAAUAAGGCACUUCAUGCAGAUUUGUGGACUCGAGUCACAUGACUUGGACUUGAGUCUGACAAGUCACAAAUGUGAUGACUUGAGACUGGACUAUUAGGCUAUCCAUAUAAAUGUACUGUUUAGCAAUCUGCUAUGGCUGCAUCUUUGCCACAACAGGCUACCUGGUAUUUUUAUAUUUCAGGUAGGUCUAGUUUGGUGGGUUAUAAUUUUACCUCAGUUGUGGAACUGCACAUGUCUAAACAUAGCUGUAACAUCACGCUACUUUCAAUACUUAUGGGAUGAAGAUGUAACAAAUUCUGGUGAAUUAAUGAUGAUAUUUGUGAGGAAUAAAAAGACUACAGACAGAACAUGCAAUCUUAUCGACAGGGCUGUAGUGGAACAGGUUGAGAGCUUCAAGUUCCUUGGUGUCCAUCACCAACAAACUAACAUGGUCCAAGCACACCAAGCCAGUCGUGAAAAGGGCACGACAAAACCCAUUCCCCCUCAGGAGGCUGAAAAGAUUUGGCAUGGGUCCUCAGAUCCUCAAAAGUUUAUACUGCUGCACCAUCGAGAGCAUGCUGACGUGUCAGAGGAAGGCCCUAAAAAUGGUCAGACUCCAGCCCCCCUAAUCAUACUAUUCUCUCUGCUAUCGCACGGCAAGCGGUACCAGAGCGUCAAGUCUAGCUCCAAGACACUUCUAAACAUCUUCUACCCGCAAGCCAUAAGACUCCUGAACAUCUAAUCAAAUGGCUACCCAGACUAUUUGCAUUUUUGGCACAACUGCUUGUCUUGUUUUGCACACUUUGUACAAAAUAAUAAAAUGCAGUACUACAGGAUAUUUCUUAACGUAGCUCUUUAUUAGCUAGCUAUAACUGGCAUGUUCACGUAUCGCCAACCAGGAUCAAACUGCCCAUGACCUAACCAUUUGGGUGGUCUUAACCAAUCAUAGCACAGAAUGAUACGGUGGUAAAAUGCAUCCAAUUACAAUUCAGUAUGUUUACACGUGAAUAUUACAUCCCCCUUCUUUUAAAACAAAAGAAAUGUUUACAUAUUCUAAGGGUUUCUUUUGAUACAUGCUCUGUAGUUUGAACUCAAGGUAGGUACUCAUUUAUAUUGCAUAAUACACCAACUGAAUCAACAGACUCUGAAACAAUAAUCCAACAUACUGUUACUUUUCAAACAAGGGAUUCUCAGCAACUCAGCUUUCACUGUAGAAAUAACAUCUUCACAUUUCAAACAAAUACAAUACCUAAGCAUUUCAAGUGAACUUUCAAUAACAAGUUUACAGUCUGGAACUCUUUUAGGGCAGCGAUACAGGUCUAGGACAGCUCUGGUCUUGACCUCUCUUCCUGACCUUGUGCAAUAUGAUGCUGAGCAUGCUUCUAUGUCAGUCAACAGUUCUUGUGGUGUUGCAGGUAAGUAUGAUGUAUGUUGUGCUGUGUGUGUGUUGAGUCCAUCACUUUCAGGGGAACAGUUAAUCUCAUCAGUGUGUUGUUAUUUUGUGUUCAGUAGGUGACGCCGAUUGCGGCGGUACACCGCUCCUUCUGCGGUGCGGACGUGAUAUGUAAUGUUCCGUGUCAGCUGGCUGGAUGACGACUGCUGGCUUCCAGUGGCCAUGCUCCUGGAUUCUAACUGACUCUCCGUCGAUCAGUGGUGGCAGUGGUCUAACUGACCUGUCGUAGUAUCGCUUUUGUUGUUGUUGUCUCUGUGCACGUUUUUUAUGCAUUUCCUUGUAGCUGACGACCUCAGGUUGCGGCUGCUGGUUGGUGCUGGGCAGGAUUGAGCGAAUUCUGCGGCUCAUCAACAGCUGGGCUGGUGAUUUGAAGUAGUCAACUGGAGUGUUGCGGUAUUCAAGGAGACUGAGAAAUGGAGUCGAUUUAGCAGACCAGCUCACAGGAAGGACAGGAAGAGGAGAGGAGUUGCCGGGGCCGACCAGCUCACAGGAAGGACAGGAAGAGGAGAAAGGUUGCCGGGGCCGACCAGCUCACAGGAAGGACAGGAAGAGGAGAGGAGUUGCCGGGGCCGACCAGCUCACAGGAAGGACAGAAAGAGGAGAGGAGUUGGGCCUCAUGAGGUUGGGUCUUAAAGGAAAUGCCUCGUCGCCGAUGAAGACAUGGGGAACAGGUCCAGGGUCUUCAGCCCCAGGGAGUGAUGCAGGUGGUGGAAUCUCCAGGGUGCCUGGCUGAAGGCAGAGUCCCGGAGGGUCCCGCCAUCACUUCCCUUGCUGUAAGCACCAACAACAUGGAAACAGUAGAUGGCAUCUACUACAGCCAAGAGUACAACUGAAUAUGUACCCUUGUAGUUGUAGAAUUGCAAACCUGAGCACAGUGGAGCCUGGAUUAGUACAUGUUUCCUGUCAAUAGAGCCAAGACAGUUGGGGAAAUUCCACCUCUCCAGGAUCUCAGCAGCGAUGGUCCUCCAGUCUUCCUCCUUGGGGACAGGCAUGUAUUCACCAACCAGACAGUCCCAAAUGGCUUGUGCCACAGAGGGAACAAUGCCUGCCACCGUGGACCGUCCAACUCGGAAGCUGAAUCCUAUGGUCUUGUAGGAGUCCACUGUCGCCAAGAAUCUGAAAUAAAAUUCUAAAUAAUGAUCAA